AGCAUCUCAUGGGGGUGCCCGGCAAAAAUGGACCGGGCUGAGAGGCAAGUGGCCAACUCCUUGAACCUGAUCCGGCUUGUACCGGCGGAGGGAUUUGAGAUGAGUGACUUG
This 111-nucleotide non-coding RNA is filed under the name Roseibium suaedae. Its description in RNAcentral is "Labrenzia suaedae TPP sequence". It matches the Rfam family "TPP riboswitch aptamer (THI element)". From Rfam's summary of the family: Vitamin B(1) in its active form thiamin pyrophosphate (TPP) is an essential coenzyme that is synthesised by coupling of pyrimidine and thiazole moieties in bacteria. The previously detected thiamin-regulatory element, thi box was extended, resulting in a new, highly conserved RNA secondary structure, the THI element, which is widely distributed in eubacteria and also occurs in some archaea. Analysis of operon structures identified a large number of new candidate thiamin-regulated genes, mostly transporters, in various prokaryotic organisms. The record is from Rfam by way of RNAcentral. Lineage: Bacteria; Pseudomonadati; Pseudomonadota; Alphaproteobacteria; Hyphomicrobiales; Stappiaceae.